This 439-nucleotide ribosomal RNA is filed under the name uncultured bacterium. RNAcentral's name for it is "partial 16S ribosomal RNA". It matches the Rfam family "Bacterial small subunit ribosomal RNA", at positions 339 to 795 of the family's 1533-position model. The record is from RNAcentral.
CUACGGGAGGCUGCAGUGGGGAAUAUUGCACAAUGGGGGAAACCCUGAUGCAGCAACGCCGCGUGGAGGAUGACACAUUUCGGUGCGUAAACUCCUUUUAUAUGAGAAGAUAAUGACGGCAUCAUAUGAAUAAGCUCCGGCUAACUCCGUGCCAGCAGCCGCGGUAAUACGGGGGGAGCAAGCGUUACUCGGAAUUACUGGGCGUAAAGCGCAUGUAGGCGGAUAGAAAAGUCAGGAGUGAAAUCCUAUAGCUUAACUAUAGAACUGCUUCUGAAACUCUCUAUCUAGAAUGUGGGAGAGGUAGAUGGAAUUUCUGGUGUAGGGGUAAAAUCCGUAGAGAUCAGAAGGAAUACCGAUUGCGAAGGCGAUCUACUGGAACAAUAUUGACGCUGAGAUGCGAAAGCGUGGGGAGCAAACAGGAUUAGAUACCCUAGUAGUC